This 262-nucleotide ribosomal RNA is filed under the name uncultured bacterium. Its description in RNAcentral is "partial 16S ribosomal RNA". It matches the Rfam family "Bacterial small subunit ribosomal RNA", at positions 92 to 354 of the family's 1533-position model. The record is from RNAcentral.
CGACCGGCGCACAGGUGAGUAACACGUAUGGAACCUGCCCGCAGCAGGGGGAUAAGCGGAAGAAAUUCCGUCUAAUACCGCGUAACACCGCGGAGGGGCAUCCCUCGGCGGUUAAAGAUUCAUCGGCUGCGGAUGGCCAUGCGGCGCAUUAGCUAGUCGGCGGGGUAACGGCCCACCGAGGCGACGAUGCGUAGGGGUUCUGAGAGGAAGGUCCCCCACACUGGUACUGAGACACGGACCAGACUCCUACGGAAGGCAGCAG